AUCUGGGUGGCUCAGUUUAUUGAGUGUCUGACUUUGGCUCAGGUCACGUAGGUUCGAGCCCUACAUCGGGCU
This 72-nucleotide transfer RNA is filed under the name Felis catus (domestic cat). It matches the Rfam family "tRNA". From Rfam's summary of the family: Transfer RNA (tRNA) molecules are approximately 80 nucleotides in length. Their secondary structure includes four short double-helical elements and three loops (D, anti-codon, and T loops). RNAcentral also lists the same sequence under 2 other names. Lineage: Eukaryota; Metazoa; Chordata; Mammalia; Carnivora; Felidae. The record is from Rfam by way of RNAcentral.